UAUCCAAAAUAAAAGAGCGCCAGCACUCUCCACUAAAUUUUCAGUUCUUUUCUUUCACUAUAUUCAAAGAACCCUAAGCCCCAAAUUGAAAAAUAAGGAUGGCACAGACUCUCCGCUACCACCGCGUUGCUGUCCUCCCUCUCUAAUUGGUUUUAUGGGAGCUGCGAUAUCAAAUCCUACAUUUGAAGUUCCGAAAUAUAUUAUCAAACAAAGGAAUAAAAAGAAAGUCUGUUAGUGGGAUAAGGUAUUAUGCAGGUUUGUCCAUUAUAUCUUUGUUAAUGCUUACACCUUUUGCAGUUGCAAUGGAGGGUCUCUAGAGGUGGGCAGUAGGAUGGCAAAAAACUCUCUCUCACAUAGGACCCACUUUUGUUUGGUUAGGAUCGACAACUUCCAUUUCUUAUCAUGCGAUGCUCGCGGUAUUCACUAAUGCAUAGUUGUAAUAGUAUUAGAUAUCAAUUAUUAAAUAUUUAUCCUGGUGAGGUAGUUUACAUCGUCCUCCAUAUUACUUGAAUCGUGGUUGUUUUGUUUGACUAUUUUAGAAUGUUGAUAAAAACUUAAGGUGCUUUAGAUUAAUCAUGUUUUCUCUAGGCUCCCAUAGGCAUCAGUUAGGUAUAAGAUGAUUAUGGAUGUUAUGUUUGUGUCUAUAUUAAUGGUGCUGCCUUAGUUCUAGCUCUCCCUUGCAUACUUUUGAAUCAUUUAAUAAAUUAUGUGAUAGCUCUUGUUAUGUCAUUGCUGACAUAUUUUGUUACUCGUAUGUUUAUGUUAAAAGUUCUUUGAUGAAUCAUUUAUAUGAGUAUCCUAAUAACAAUUUUGUCUUUGGCUUUGAUAUUCAGUAUCAACGCAAGACAUAUUCUAUCACCUUUAUAACCAAUUGUUUAUAUGUCAUUGGAUGAGAUUUCUCACCUGACGUUUAGCAUAGAAAUGCAGUGAAGCGAAUAUCUGUCGGUGUUGCCUCCAUCAUAAUCUUCCAAAUACAUGUUCGACUCAUCAAUGCACUUGAAGCUGCCAUUGUAAUCAUAGGAACCUUCUUUUAUUCACAAAUCAAGAUCAAGAACUUGGAGUUUGAAGAACCUAUCCUUGAAGAAUGUGCGGAGCAAGUUGAAGCAUUAUAGAAUUUUUGUUCUGUUAGCAGUGGUUUAAAGAUGUUGUCAUUUGUACAUCGUGCUAUAGUUCUAUUGUCUACUUUUAGGAGUUGAUAAAAAUAGUGUCAUGCAAUUUGGAUGGGUAUAUUUAUAGACACUGAUCUUUCCGUUCUUUGUAAUGAUAAUAAAAUUUUAUAGAGUAUGAAUUUUGAUUAUUUGGUAUA
RNA transcript from Nicotiana tabacum (common tobacco), 1306 nucleotides. RefSeq lists it as uncharacterized. NCBI's taxonomy places the organism in Eukaryota, Viridiplantae, Streptophyta, Magnoliopsida, Solanales, Solanaceae. The record is from RefSeq and is a predicted model, not a curated record.